GAGAGUAUAGCUCAAAUGGUAGAGCACAUGCUUAGCAUCCACGAGGUCCUGGGUUCAAUCCCCAGUACCUCCA
RNAcentral lists this transfer RNA (73 nucleotides) under Camelus bactrianus (Bactrian camel). It matches the Rfam family "tRNA". Rfam says of the family: Transfer RNA (tRNA) molecules are approximately 80 nucleotides in length. Their secondary structure includes four short double-helical elements and three loops (D, anti-codon, and T loops). Further hydrogen bonds mediate the characteristic L-shaped molecular structure. tRNAs have two regions of fundamental functional importance: the anti-codon, which is responsible for specific mRNA codon recognition, and the 3' end, to which the tRNAs corresponding amino acid is attached (by aminoacyl-tRNA synthetases). tRNAs cope with the degeneracy of the genetic code in two manners: having more than one tRNA (with a specific anti-codon) for a particular amino acid; and 'wobble' base-pairing, i.e. permitting non-standard base-pairing at the 3rd anti-codon position. RNAcentral also lists the same sequence under 2 other names. Lineage: Eukaryota; Metazoa; Chordata; Mammalia; Artiodactyla; Camelidae. The record is from Rfam by way of RNAcentral.